GACGAACGCUGGCGGCGUGCUUAACACAUGCAAGUCGAACGGAAAGGCCCUGCUCGCAGUGUACUCGAGUGGCGAACGGGUGAGUAACACGUGGGUGGUCUGCCCUGCACUUCGGGUUAAGCCUGUGCAACUGGGUCUAAUACCGGACAGGAGCCAUUUUGAGCGUGAUGGUUGGAAAGUGUUUUUCGGUGUUGGUGGAGCUUGUGGCCUGUCCGCUUGUUGGUGGGGUAAUGGCCUACCAAGGGGGCGACGGGUAGCCGGCCGGAGAGGGUGGACGGCCGCAUUGGGACUGAGGUGCGGCCCAGGCACCGACUGGAGGCAGCAGUGGGGAAUAUUGAACAAUGGGCGCAAGCCGAAUGCAGCGAGGCGGCGUGGGGGAUGACGGCCUUAGGGUUGUAAACUCCUUUCGCUAGGGACGAAGCAUUUUGUGACGGUACCUAGACAAAAAGCCACGGCUAACUACGUG
RNAcentral lists this ribosomal RNA (466 nucleotides) under uncultured bacterium. Its description in RNAcentral is "partial 16S ribosomal RNA". It matches the Rfam family "Bacterial small subunit ribosomal RNA", at positions 28 to 507 of the family's 1533-position model. The record is from RNAcentral.